CAAUUUCCCUCCUCUCUCUCUUUCGAUAUCUUCCACUCCAUCUCAGUGGCUGACAGAGGACGGGCGAUUGAAUAUUUCAGGUAACUGCACACCACCCAAUUCUUUAUUUACAUCUUCACUCUCAUUAGCGUGAAUGAGUUGCAGUGAUAUUUUUAUGAUUCUCAUUCAUUGCUGUAAUCAGAUCUUGUUAAGACAUUGUUUCUCUUUUCAAUCCAUGUUGUGUUAUGUUUCUUAUUGAAAUUUCUAGUUAUUAAAAAGGGGGAGUUUCUUUUGUAGUGGUGAUUUUUCCUUUCAACAAAGAUUGUUACUGUUUCUUACCUAGAAACUACUGUAUUCAUUCUCGUCCAGUUAGCUUGUUAAUUAGCCUUGACCCUUUUCAAGCUUUUCAUAAUCUGGGAAAGUUUUCUCGAAAGAUAUUAACUGGACUAGCAAAUAUGUAAACCUGUCGAUUCUUUCAUUUUCCUUUAAUUUUUUUUAAUACAUUCAAUUUUCUUCUUCAGUUUGUUUCAUUGCUUAAGGUACUCCAGCUUUUCUUGUUCAAGGAUCUUGUUUGGUUAAUAUGAAAGUUAUGGUUUUACUAGAGGCUAGGACUCUACAAGUUUCUGGAAAUCAAAUAUUUUUAUGUAGCUUAUUGUAGAGAAAGUUAGUCGUGAAGAAUUAACCCAAAUAGCUGCAACCCAACCACUUAAACUAAAAAUAGCUAGCAGAUGUAUAUAUAUAAUUCAUUUAUGAUAUGUGUAUGACCAUGCAUAAUAUGUGGUAUAAUCUAUGUAUAUCGACUAGAAAAGUAAAAAAAAAGUAAAUAAUGAAUGCGUAUACUUUCUUGAAAUACACUAAUUCAAAUGCUUUUACUAGUAAACUAUACAUUCUUGAAAUAAAACGAGGCUACUUUAAAAGAAUGAAGCUCAAAUGCAAUUCAUACUUUCUUGUGGAGAGCUCUUUCAACUUGAGUAUGCUUAAUUAGAAUUUAUUUGUGAUUAGAAUCUGCUUAAUUAGAAUGUAUUUGUAAUUAUAAUGUAUUUGUAUAGAUGGCUUGUGUUAAACGAUCAUAAUACUAAUUAAUAUAUAUUGUGUUAAAUAUCUGGAUUUAUUUUGUGUAGAUGGAGUUUGCACAUCGUAGAUGGAUGUAUAAUCGAACUUAUCCUAAUUGUAAUGGGUUGAGUGAGGAAUUUAUAGAAGGGGUUGCUGAAUUCAUGGCUAAAACAAAAAUACUUCAUGAAUUUCUCAGUGAAUGGGUGAUUAGGUGUCCUUGUAUGAAAUGCAAGUGCGGAAACUUAUUAAAACCAUAUGUUAAAGUUUAUCUUUAUAAAAAAGGGUUUAUGAAAAAUUAUUACGUGUAGACUAUUCAUGGAGAGGAUAUUGCUAGUGUUGGCAACGUUGAUUUUCAAAAUUUAUUUGGUAGUGAGGGUAGUCCAUUAGAAGAGAAUAAUGCUGAAAAUUCUCGAUUCAGUGAAAUGGUUAGGGAUGCUUUUGUGAUGCACCUGGGGGCUCAAUCUGAAGCAAAUGAUGAUGCUAAGCGCUUCUAUGAACAGUUACAAGAAGCAAGCCGUCCAUUGUAUGAAGGCUCAAUGCAUUCUAAGUUGUCUGUCGCAGUUAGAUUAGUGAGUAUUAAAUCAGAUUCAAGUAUUUCUCAAGCGGGCAUGGAUUAUAUCAUUGGCCUUAUGAAUGAACUUAAUCCAAAUAAAAUUGACCUACCCAAAGAUUUCUACACAACAAAGAAAUUGGUUUACAAGUUAGGACUUUCAUCAGAGAGGAUUGAUUUACAAUCCGAAAAGUUUCAUUGAUGUAUACAUGCAACCUUUAAUUGAUGAGUUAAAGUUAUUGUGGCAUGAAGGUGUGGAAACAUAUGAUAUAUCAACUAAACAAAACUUCAGAUUGCGUGCUGCUUUGAUGUGGACUAUAAAUGAUUUUUCUGCUUAUGGAAUAUUGUCUGGAUGGUCGACUGCAGGAAAGUUAGCUUGCCCAACUUGUAUGGAAGACACAAAAGCAUUCACGUGGAAACAUAGAGGAAAGAAUACAUGGUUUGACUGCCACCAUUGAUUUUGCCUAUGGAUCACAAGUUUAGGAGAAAUACUAGUGCAUUUAUGAAGAACCAAACUGAAUUUGAGGAGACACCGUCACCAUUUUCGCCAGAAGAAAUUUGAAACGGAGUUAGGUUUCUACCAAAGGUAGCAGAGUCUCCAAUGUCUAAUAAGAUACCUGGUUAUGGUGUUACGCAUAAUUGGACUAAACAGAGCAUAUUUUGGGAGUUACCUUAUUGGAAGCAUAAUUGUCUUCGGCAUAAUUUGGAUGUCAUGCAUAUCGAGAAAAACUUUUUUGACAACUUGUUUAAUACAAUAAUGGAUGACAAUAACAAGACAAAAGAUAACUUGAAGGCUAGGAUGGACUUAAAGGAAUAUUGUAGGUGAAGUGAGUUGUAUCUGACAUACUUUAACAACAAGAUUAAGAAGCCCAAGGCCAGUUACACAUUCACUUUGGAUGAGAGAAGAGAGACUUGUGAUUGGGUUAACUGUUAUACCCCAUGUUUUCGUACGUGGAAGUACGCCAUACGUAAAUUAAUAUAAGCUUGAAAAUGAGAUGUUACAUUCUGCACCUUCGUACGUUAAGGUUUCGUCGUAAAUUAAUCGACGUAAGUUCGGGAAUGGCAUUAUUUUGAGAUUAUAAGUAUUAUGGUAUUUCAAACAAGUGAUGAGUAAAUUCGUGAAGGUGAGAGGAGAAGCAAGUCAAAGAAAAUACAUUUUUGUCCAUGUUUGACAUGUUGGGAUAAAAUAUGAUCCGAGUUAAAAUACUUGGUAUUUAUGGACUAGUGCCAUACAAGGUACCAUAUGACCAUAAUAGUAAGGUGUAUAAGGUAUGUUAAAAGUGAGUAGUAUUUUAAGUUAGUGGAGAUAAAUCUUAGUUAUGUGGGUAAUUAAUUAAUUAUUGAAUAAUAAAACAUUAUCUAGUUAAUUAAUAAUUAGUGAUGGAUUAAUUAAAGUAUUUGGGUAAAGACUAAGGUCUUUAGAUGAAUUGAAAGUGUAAAAAACGUGGCAGCCCCCUUCUAUUCUAAUUAAUGACUCAUUAGUCAUUUAAGAUAGGUGUCACCUUAAAGAAUUUGGUGGCAAAAUUAUUCCUAAAGUAGGGCCACAUCAUAAGGCAUCUUAAGACUUAAGAAGUCUUUCAUCAAUAACGUUAUUCUUCAAAAAUUCAACUCAAAGACUUCUCUAACCUGGUAACGUGGGGAAGUUCAGCAUUUUCAACUAAUUCAACAUGAUUUCAUGGAAAUUCCACAAGAUUUCAUAGCAUCUUAAGCAACGUGAGAUUUUGCAAUUAUAAGAAAGUACGGUGCAAUCUUUCUCAAGAAUAUCAUAAGGAUUUUUCCUAUUCCGAUCUUGCUGUGACGUGUUUUGUCGCAAUUAACGUGUGUUAGAGGGGUUGUCAAGAGAAUAGACCCAGGUAUGUUAAGGCUAUCCCUUCUUUCUUUUGGCAUGACCUAUACAUCACAAACGAAGCGAGUAGAUGCACAACUUCCAUAAAUGACUCUAUUCAUAGAAAUACUAGAGAUGCUUAUAUUCUUGAUUCCCCGCGUGUCAUAUUAUUUUAUCAUUUGUUCAUGGGUCUCUAAAAUACCAAUGUUGGUAAAUUUUAUUUCAUGAUAUUAAUCAGAGGCAUAAUGGUCUUAUGACGUACCGAGAGAUUUUAUUAACGUAUUUCAUAUGCAUUUCAUGCAUUUAUACAUGCUCAUUGACCCAUGACCAGAUGGCGUUAUAUACGCGUAUAUAUAUGUAUAUAUAUAUAUAUAUAUAUAUAUAUNNNNNNNNNNNNNNNNNNNNNNNNNCAUGUCGAGUCUUUUACUCCAUGUUUCUCUCAUGUCUAUUAUUUACUGAUUUUCAUCCCUUACAUACUCGGUACAUUAUUUGUACUGACAUCCCUUUUGCCUGGGGAAGCUGUGUUUGAUGCCCGCAGAUCCCGAUAGACAGGUCGAGAGCCCUCCAAGUAGGCUAUCAGCUCAGCGGAAGAUGUUGGUGCGCUCCAUUUUGCUUCAGAGUUACGUGUUUGGUUAGUAUGAUUUAGACGUAUAUUGUUUGGUAUGGCAGGACUCUGUCCCGACCUUUAUGAAAAAUAUGUAUCCUUAGAGGCUUAUAGACAGAUGUCAUGUACGUAAAAGAUUGUAUGUCCUUGUCGGCCUAUGUUCA
RNAcentral lists this long non-coding RNA (4175 nucleotides) under Nicotiana tabacum (common tobacco). RNAcentral describes it as "long non-coding RNA (NTAB_LNC007802)". Lineage: Eukaryota; Viridiplantae; Streptophyta; Magnoliopsida; Solanales; Solanaceae. The record is from RNAcentral.